Ictalurus punctatus (channel catfish) is the source of this 1049-nucleotide long non-coding RNA. The record is from Ensembl. Lineage: Eukaryota; Metazoa; Chordata; Actinopteri; Siluriformes; Ictaluridae.
GUUAUAAUUUAUUACGGUAUAGUACACCCUACAAGUAUUUUUUAGAGCACACGUGGGAUGUGUCCAAAAGUAUAGGAACAUCCCUUAUAGAGCAGGACCAUACAGCUUUAAACAUUGAUCCAAUUGCACAACUGUCCACUGUAAUAUAAAAUAUAAAAUAUACACAUUCUACAUAAACAAUAUCAUGAUAAUAUAAAACAGUAAUAUAUAUAUAUAUGUACCAACAAUAUUAUAAUUAUAUGGUAAUAUAGACAUUGUGUCACUGCAUAUAGUAACUGUUAAUUUUAAUCACGUUUACAAUCUUUAGACACUUCACAUCAGCUGUUAAUAAUCUGUUGGACUGUUCAUAGGAUUUAAGAGAUGCAAUUCCAAAAUUGUCCACAAGAUGGCAGUCCAGUGUGCAGGCCAUCCAUCCAUCUUCAACCACAUACUCCUUUUCAGGGUUACGGUGAACCUGGAGCCUAUCCCAGGGAGCAUCGGGCACAAGGCACAAGGCGGGGUCCACCCUGGACAGGGUGCCAAUCCAUCGCAGGGCACACAAUCACACAUACACUCACACACCCAUUCAUACACUAUGGACACUUUGGACAUUCCAAUCAGCCUACCAGGGCCAUGCCAAUCAGCCAAUCAGCCUACCAUGCAUGUCUUUGGACUGGGGGAGGAAACUGGAGUACCCGGAGGAAACCCCCGUAGCACGGGGAGAACAUGCAAACUCAUAUCACUUCUGAUAAGCUUUCUCCACUUUGGAUGAGCAUAGAGACACCAUUAAAAAAUUUCCUGAGUCUAGAGAAAAUGUACAGUUUAUCACUUGAAUUACAUUUAAAACGCAGUUGUCAUAUGUACUGUCACUAGCCACUAUUAAUUUUAAACUCAUGCUUACAAUGUUUAGUGACAUUCACAGCAGGGAAUAGUCUCUUGGUCUGUACUAAAGAUUUAAAAAGGUAAUAGAUCCAAUUGCACAACUGUGCACCAUAUGUAAUAUAUACAUUCUACAUAAACAAUAUAAUAAUAAUAUAAAAUACAGUUAUACACACACACACACACACACA